AGUCUGGCAAGGGUUAGCCACCCACCAGUAGCGAGUCUUGCGUGGCAGUCGGUAACGGCGUUGCUGCAUAGCAUUAAGCUGCGAAGCGUAGACAGCGAGCAAGCAGGGUUACACGGUGAUUGAGCCUCGACAUUUUGCGACCAGUCGGCCGACGCUUUAAUCCCAGCGGAAGGCAACAUGGGCGGAGACGAUAUGGCGAGUCAACGUCUGCACUGCGGGGUCAUAGAAC
Molecule: non-coding RNA, 229 nt
Filed under: bovine gut metagenome
Source: RNAcentral